UAACUAUAACGGUCCUAAGGUAGCGAAAUUCCUUGUCGGGCAAGUUCCGACCUGCACGAAUGGCAUAACGAUGGCCACACUGUCUCCUCCUGAGACUCAGUGAAGUUGAAGUGUUUGUGAUGAUGCAAUCUCCCCGCGGCUAGACGGAAAGACCCCAUGAACCUUUACUGUAGCUUUGCAUUGGACUUUGAACCGAUCUGUGUAGGAUAGGCGGGAGCCUGUGAAACCACAACGCCAGUUGUGGCGGAGGCGUCCUUGAAAUACCGCCCUGAUUUGUUUGAGGUUCUAACCUGGGACAGUCAUCCUGUCCGGGGACCGUGCAUGGUAGGCAGUUUGACUGGGGCGGUCUCCUCCUAAAGGGUAACGGAGGAGUGCGAAGGUACGCUAGGUACGGUCGGAAAUCGUGCUGAUAGUGCAAUGGCAAAAGCGUGCUUGACUGCGAGACCCACAAGUCGAGCAGAUACGAAAGUAGGUCAUAGUGAUCCGGUGGCUCUGUAUGGAAGGGCCAUCGCUCAACGGAUAAAAGGUACUCCGGGGAUAACAGGCUGAUACCGCCCAAGAGUUCAUAUCGACGGCGGUGUUUGGCACCUCGAUGUCGGCUCAUCACAUCCUGGGGCUGAAGUAGGUCCCAAGGGUAUGGCUGUUCGCCAUUUAAAGUGGUACGCGAGCUGGGUUUAGAACGUCGUGAGACAGUUCGGUCCCUAUCUGCCGUGGGCGUUGGAGAAUUGAUUGGGGCUGCUCCUAGUACGAGAGGACCGGAGUGGACGCACCACUGGUGUUCCGGUUGUGUCGCCAGACGCAUUGCCGGGUAGCUAAGUGCGGAAGAGAUAAGUGCUGAAAGCAUCUAAGCACGAAACUUGCCCCGAGAUGAGUUCUCCCUGAGACUUUAAGUCUCCUGAAGGAACGUUGAAGACGACGACGUUGAUAGGCCGGGUGUGUAAGCGCAGCGAUGCGUUGAGCUAACCGGUACUAAUGAACCGUGAGGCUUAACCUU
This 994-nucleotide ribosomal RNA is filed under the name human gut metagenome. RNAcentral describes it as "bacterial LSU rRNA". It matches the Rfam family "Bacterial large subunit ribosomal RNA", at positions 1937 to 2925 of the family's 2925-position model. The record is from RNAcentral.